AGCGGCAGGCCUAACACAUGCAAGUCGAGGGGUAACAUUGGUGCUUGCACCAGAUGACGACCGGCGCACGGGUGCGUAACGCGUAUACAAUCUACCUUUUGCUAAGGGAUAGCCCAGAGAAAUUUGGAUUAAUACCUUAUAGUAUGCAGACUUCUCAUGGAGAUUGCAUUAAAGAUUACGGCAAAAGAUGAGUAUGCGUCCUAUUAGUUUGUUGGUGUGGUAACGGCACACCAAGACUACGAUAGGUAGGGGCCCUGAGAGGGGGAUCCCCCACACUGGUACUGAGACACGGACCAGACUCCUACGGGAGGCAGCAGUGAGGAAUAUUGGACAAUGGAGGCAACUCUGAUCCAGCCAUGCCGCGUGCAGGAAGACUGCCCUAUGGGUUGUAAACUGCUUUUAUACAGGAAGAAACACUCCCUCGUGAGGGAGCUUGACGGUACUGUAAGAAUAAGGAUCGGCUAACUCCGUGCCAGCAGCCGCGGUAAUACGGAGGAUCCAAGCGUUAUCCGGAAUCAUUGGGUUUAAAGGGUCCGUAGGUGGAUAAUUAAGUCAGAGGUGAAAGUUUGCAGCUCAACUGUAAAAUUGCCUUUGAUACUGGUUAUCUUGAGUUAUUGUGAAGUAGUUAGAAUAUGUAGUGUAGCGGUGAAAUGCAUAGAUAUUACAUAGAAUACCAAUUGCGAAGGCAGAUUACUAACAAUAUACUGACACUGAUGGACGAAAGCGUGGGUAGCGAACAGGAUUAGAUACCCUGGUAGUCCACGCCGUAAACGAUGGAUACUAGCUGUUGGGCUUCGGCUCAGUGGCUAAGCGAAAGUGAUAA
Molecule: ribosomal RNA, 823 nt
Filed under: uncultured Algibacter sp.
Lineage: Bacteria; Pseudomonadati; Bacteroidota; Flavobacteriia; Flavobacteriales; Flavobacteriaceae
Description: bacterial SSU rRNA
Rfam family: Bacterial small subunit ribosomal RNA
Source: RNAcentral